CGCCCGCCGGCGACCGGCGCACGGGUGAGUAACACGUAUGCAACCUGGCCGCCACAGGGGAUAACCCGCGGAAACGCGGCCUAAUACCCCGUGACGCCACCGGAGGGCGUCCUCCGGUGGCCAAAGGAGCGAUCCGGUGGGCGGAUGGGCAUGCGGCGCAUUAGCUAGACGGCGGGGUGACGGCCCACCGUGGCGACGAUGCGUAGGGGUUCUGAGAGGAAGGCCCCCCGCACUGGGACUGAGACACGGCCCAGACUCCUACGGAAGGCAGCAG
This 274-nucleotide ribosomal RNA is filed under the name uncultured bacterium. Its description in RNAcentral is "partial 16S ribosomal RNA". It matches the Rfam family "Bacterial small subunit ribosomal RNA", at positions 82 to 354 of the family's 1533-position model. The record is from RNAcentral.